This is a non-coding RNA of Lactuca sativa (garden lettuce), 984 nucleotides long. The record is from RefSeq and is a predicted model, not a curated record. NCBI's taxonomy places the organism in Eukaryota, Viridiplantae, Streptophyta, Magnoliopsida, Asterales, Asteraceae.
AAUCGGUAACACCAGAUACAAUUUAUAUAGCAUCUCCACCCAAUUCAAGAUACCACUCUAUCGAACAAUCUACAUUCACCACUGUCGCACUUCAUCUCACCACCAUUCACCUUCGCCUCCUCCUUUUCUCUCUAACUCUAUCGGCUGAUCUGGAAUCAAUGUCUUUUUCCUAUCAUCAUUGCACUAUGCCUCUCUCUACCUUCUCCCCCCCAUCAAUAUUCAACUUGCGUUCACGAUUUCUCACUUUCAUCGCCGCUGCUUUGCAAAACCAACCCUCGACCAUACUUGGAAAACUUAGAUAUAUAUAGCCCCGAAGAUUCAGAGGCAGAAUCAUCUGAUGCAUGAAGAUCUUGUAAUGAAGGAUAAAGAUGGAUAUAUGAGUUUCUGCUGAAGAACAUAUUUUGUUCUCAUAUUUGAGUCAGAUCUGUGUCGAUCUAUGUUUUAUCCCAUUUCACAUUUUUUUUUCGAAUCUCAUCAAAACAAAAGAAAAGCACACACGCCAAGAGGUAAAGUCUGCAAGUUAUUUUUAGGCUUUUUCUUGGGUUCGUUUUCUUAAAUUUCGACUUUUAUAUCAAAAUUUUAUAUCUGUAUUUUGUUUUUCCAUGUUUGUUUGUUAUUCUUAUCAGAUCUGUAAAAUUUAAAGUUUAUGUUUAUCUCAAGGUACAUAGAUUUGUGGUUAUUUAUCAUGUAUAGAGAGUUAGAGUUUAUUUAAUAUUUACCAGGUGUUAUAUAAUAAAGUAUAUACAUAUUUGUUUUUCAUUUCAGGUUUUAUAGAACUUGAGUUGCUGUUUGUUGAUUCCAGAUAAGCAAUGAAGCUGAUUUUUUACUUUUUUGGUUUCUUGAUAAAAAUCUAAAACUGGAAGCAAGUUUGAACUUGUAAAUGUUGUAGUCUUUUUGGUGAACAAUUUGAAAUGAUAUAUUUUUAAUACAGUUUGUAUACAAUUUUAAUAAUGGAUUGUAUUUGUCUUUGUUUAUGAAAUUAAA